Molecule: ribosomal RNA, 253 nt
Filed under: uncultured bacterium
Lineage: Bacteria
Description: partial 16S ribosomal RNA
Rfam family: Bacterial small subunit ribosomal RNA
Source: RNAcentral
UACGGAGGGGGCUAGCGUUGUUCGGAAUUACUGGGCGUAAAGCGCACGUAGGCGGCUUCGCAAGUCAGGGGUGAAAGCCCGGGGCUCAACCCCGGAACUGCCUUUGAGACUGCGUCGCUUGAAUCCGGGAGAGGCGGGUGGAAUUUCCGGUGUAGCGGUGAAAUUCGUAGAUAUCCGGAAGAACACCAGUGGCGAAGGCGGCCCGCUGGACCGGUAUUGACGAUGAGGUGCGAAAGCGUGGGGAGCAAACAGG